UAGAAUGCUCACUUCUCUGGUCCCAGACUCACUUCUCAAUCUGCUAAUUUACUUUGGUAUCAGGAAUACUCCAGUUUACAACCUGAAAAGAUGGCACAAGAACUGGAAUACACAGUAAGAGAGAACGAGAGAGAGAGAGCACAUGAGAGUGGGGAGGGUCAGAGGCAGAAGCAGGCUCCCCGCCGAGCAGGGAGCCCGAUGCAGGACUCGAUCCCAGGACUCCAGGAUCAUGACCUGAGCCGAAGGCAGUCGCUUAACCAACUGAGCCACCCAGGUGCCCGUCAGCUUGACCAUGUUUUAAUUACAUGUUAAUUCAAGGAAUUUAUGUACUUAUUACUUUAACCUAAAUGGAUUAAUUGACAGGUAAUAACUCAGAUGCCUCUUCAGCAGUAUCUAAUAAUUCCUUUUACAUUGUAAAUGCUCAAUAAAUAAAUAUUUGAAUGAUAAUUUAUCAGUCUUUAGAAUUAUUGGCAUAUACAGUUUUGUCAUAUUUUUAACCUCAGAAAUCCUAGUUUUGUCAUUAGCUUAAAGUUUGUUCAUAUACAAUAAAUAGUAACAUUAGCAAAUCUGUAGUCAUUUGAAUGCUAAACCUGCUGUGAAUUUUUCAGUUGCUGCCUCUACAGUGAGAAAGUUCUCAUACCGUUGUACUGUUUCUUAAAUAUAGGGGAGACCAUGGAGUCAUC
Molecule: long non-coding RNA, 683 nt
Organism: Mirounga angustirostris (Northern elephant seal)
Lineage: Eukaryota; Metazoa; Chordata; Mammalia; Carnivora; Phocidae
Exons: 3
Source: RefSeq, a predicted model, not a curated record